This 721-nucleotide ribosomal RNA is filed under the name uncultured Bacteroidota bacterium. Its description in RNAcentral is "bacterial SSU rRNA". It matches the Rfam family "Bacterial small subunit ribosomal RNA", at positions 73 to 789 of the family's 1533-position model. Lineage: Bacteria; Pseudomonadati; Bacteroidota. The record is from RNAcentral.
CGCCCCUUCGGGGGCGUGGAGACCGGCGGAUGGGUGAGUAACGCGUAGGCAAUCUGCCUGAAGGACGGGGAUAACAUGCCGAAAGGCAUGCUAAUACCCGAUGAUGCAGCGGGGUCGCAUGACCACAGUUGUUAAAGGCUUCGGCCACCUUCAGAGGAACCUGCGUGCCAUUAGCUAGUUGGUAGGGUAACGGCCUACCAAGGCGAUGAUGGCUAGGGGGUCUGAGAGGAUGAUCCCCCACACUGGGACUGAGACACGGCCCAGACUCCUACGGGAGGCAGCAGUGAGGAAUCUUGCGCAAUGGGGGCAACCCUGACGCAGCCACGCCGCGUGCCGGAAGACGGCCCUACGGGUUGUAAACGGCUUUUAUGCGGGAAGAACCCGGGUCUUUCGAGACCCGCUGACGGUACCGUAUGAAUAAGCACCGGCUAACUCCGUGCCAGCAGCCGCGGUAAUACGGAGGGUGCAAGCGUUGUCCGGAAUCAUUGGGUGUAAAGGGUGCGCAGGCGGAAGCCUAAGUCGGAGGUGAAAUCUUGCCGCUUAACGGUAAAAUGGCCUUCGAUACUGGGUUUCUUGAGUCCAGAAGAGGCCGGUGGAAUUCGUGGUGUAGCGGUGAAAUGCAUAGAGAUCACGAAGAACACCAGUGGCGAAGGCGGCCGGCUGGUCUGGAACUGACGCUGAGGCACGAGAGCGUGGGGAGCGAACAGGAUUAGAUACCCUG